UAUAGCGCCACAUUUAAGCCGGUGAUAACUCGGUUGGUCUCCACCCGUCUCGAUACGAGUACACAUAUUCACCUUCAGUUCGCAAGCGCAAUCAUGAGGGCCGCUGUAUUUGUCGUAGCCGCUAUCUUGCUGCUAUGUGUAUCCCACACUCAGAGUCGUCCUCGUCCAUCGCACGUACACCGUCAGGAUGGUGUGAAAAGAUCAGGACCAUACGCCGAUUUUCCAGAUAUCGAAAACGCCGGAAUAGUGGGUGGAGGAACUACCGAACGUCCUUCCGAAGGAAAGUCAACUACUUCCAAGCACCACAGCGGUGGCGCGGCUGCCAAAACGGGCCAAGAGAUUUUUCAUGAAGCUGUAGAGGAAAUCCGCGCCACCCUGGGCAAGCCAUGACUGUCAACGCUGUUACGUUAUAGUAUUAUGUGUAUACAUUGUUACGUUACUACAUUGAUCAUUAGAUUAUCUACGGCUGUUGUGCCGUAGUACGAUUUUACGUUUAUAAGUGUAUUACUGGUGUGCAUUGCCGACAGGAAGCGAGGUAGCGCAUAGUAUGCAACGAAUGCUGCGACGCAAAUAGAAUUUCUCAGACCUUGUAUGGACUUGAUCGCUAAGUAACGUAGCAUAGCAGUAGGUCCGUAAUCGUUAUGUUAUCAGGAGUAGAUAAUAGAAGAUCUUCUAUUAUCUACUCUUGAUGUUAUGUUAGUCCUGUAAUGCGGUGACUACAUGGAAGAAAUUAAGUUGGGUUAUGUGUUACGUUAAGACGUUUCGUGUCGAUGAGUGACGUGAGCUGGAUUAUACACGUAUAACAGAUGUGUUUGUUUAUGCUCGCCUAAUGGUGAUCUAUUGUUACUCGAGUGAGAGUAGCUAAAGAAUCGCCGUUAUAAACUCCAAAUGAAAUGCCGAAUACAAUGAAUUUCUGUUUGUAAGCACGUCUAUUGUUGGCAAUUGUAUUACAAUGUUAAUGAUCUUUUUUUUAUGUUGAUGUUACUUUUUCGUAUAAAUAAAAAUAUAAACAAAUAUGAA
Molecule: long non-coding RNA, 1020 nt
Organism: Priapulus caudatus
Lineage: Eukaryota; Metazoa; Priapulida; Priapulimorpha; Priapulimorphida; Priapulidae
Exons: 2
Source: RefSeq, a predicted model, not a curated record